UACGUAGGGGGCAAGCGUUGUCCGGAUUUAUUGGGCGUAAAGCGCUCGCAGGUGGUCCGAUGCGUCGUGCGUGAAAGACCCCGGCUCAACUGGGGGGCGUCGUGCGAUACGGUCGGACUGGAGGCCAGUAGGGGGAUGCGGAAUUCCGGGUGUAGUGGUGGAAUGCGUAGAGAUCCGGAGGAACACCAGCGGCGAAGGCGGCAUCCUGGACUGGUCCUGACACUCAUGAGCGAAAGCGUGGGGAGCGAUCCGG
This 253-nucleotide ribosomal RNA is filed under the name uncultured bacterium. RNAcentral's name for it is "partial 16S ribosomal RNA". It matches the Rfam family "Bacterial small subunit ribosomal RNA", at positions 524 to 776 of the family's 1533-position model. The record is from RNAcentral.